This 235-nucleotide ribosomal RNA is filed under the name uncultured bacterium. RNAcentral's name for it is "partial 16S ribosomal RNA". It matches the Rfam family "Bacterial small subunit ribosomal RNA", at positions 99 to 334 of the family's 1533-position model. The record is from RNAcentral.
CGCACGGGUGAGUAACGCGUAUGCAACUUGCCUAUCAGAGGGGAUAACCCGGCGAAAGUCGGACUAAUACCGCAUGAAGCAGGGAUCCCGCAUGGGAAUAUUUGCUAAAGAUUCAUCGCUGAUAGAUAGGCAUGCGUUCCAUUAGGCAGUUGGCGGGGUAACGGCCCACCAAACCGACGAUGGAUAGGGGUUCUGAGAGGAAGGUCCCCCACAUUGGUACUGAGACACGGACCAA